Molecule: ribosomal RNA, 413 nt
Filed under: uncultured bacterium
Lineage: Bacteria
Description: bacterial SSU rRNA
Rfam family: Bacterial small subunit ribosomal RNA
Source: RNAcentral
GACGAACGCUGGCGGCGCGCCUAACACAUGCAAGUCGGACGAGAGAUGAGGAGCUUGCUCUUCAAAUCGAGUGGCGAACGGGUGAGUAACGCGUGAGGAACCUGCCUCAAAGAGGGGGACAACAGUUGGAAACGACUGCUAAUACCGCAUAAGCCCACAGCUCGGCAUCGAGCAGAGGGAAAAGGAGCAAUCCGCUUUGAGAUGGCCUCGCGUCCGAUUAGCUAGUUGGUGAGGUAACGGCCCACCAAGGCGACGAUCGGUAGCCGGACUGAGAGGUUGAACGGCCACAUUGGGACUGAGACACGGCCCAGACUCCUACGGGAGGCAGCAGUGGGGAAUAUUGCACAAUGGGGGAAACCCUGAUGCAGCGACGCCGCGUGGAGGAAGAAGGUCUUCGGAUUGUAAACUCCUGU